GGGGAUGUGGCUCAGUGGUAGAGCAUUUGCCUAGCAUAUGUGAGGCCCUGGAUUCAAUCCCUAGCACCACCA
This 72-nucleotide transfer RNA is filed under the name Ictidomys tridecemlineatus (thirteen-lined ground squirrel). RNAcentral's name for it is "Spermophilus tridecemlineatus (thirteen-lined ground squirrel) tRNA". It matches the Rfam family "tRNA". From Rfam's summary of the family: Transfer RNA (tRNA) molecules are approximately 80 nucleotides in length. Their secondary structure includes four short double-helical elements and three loops (D, anti-codon, and T loops). The record is from Rfam by way of RNAcentral. Lineage: Eukaryota; Metazoa; Chordata; Mammalia; Rodentia; Sciuridae.